RNAcentral lists this long non-coding RNA (1463 nucleotides) under Capra hircus (goat). RNAcentral's name for it is "lncRNA (ENSCHIG00010022412.1)". The record is from RNAcentral. Lineage: Eukaryota; Metazoa; Chordata; Mammalia; Artiodactyla; Bovidae.
AUGGCGGCCAGUGGGAGGGGGCUCCUGAACCUCUCCCCCCAUCCCUCUCUCCCUCUCCCCCUCCCUGGCAUAGGGAAGGAGUUCUCCUGUGCGAGGGACUGCUGGAAAGACAGGGCCAGAGCACAGAAGGGCCUGGCCCAAAGAACUGAACACCCUGAGACGCCCUCACUCGCCCCUCUCCUCGCUUGCCAGCAGAACCCACGUUCCAGCCGCAGUGGAGGAACGGGCGAGGGUGAGGGUCGGGGUGCUCAGGCAGGGCAGGCCUGGGGGUUCCUGAGCCCAGCCCCCGCCCCACUCACCUAUGAAGAGUGCCGCCCAGGUCUUGAUGUGGUGGUGGCGGCUGUGCAGGUAGCUGAGGGCCUGCGCCAAGUGGAUGCCGAACUCCUCCCGGCUGUGGCUCAUCUGGGGAGCACGUCUCUGUCACUCGCUGGGGCCAGAGUGGGGACCUGGCGGCCAGCCUCCCAUCCCCUCCCCGCUGCGGGCCCUCACCAGGCAGCUCCAGAGGAAGUGGCGGGCGCUGAGGCCCUUCUCCCAGGCCAGCGUACAGAAGAGGGUGUGCUGCGGCCGCCAGUGGAGCAGCACGGAGCAGCGGUAGAAGGCAAACUUGGCCUGCUGCGGGACGGCAGGGAGGGCCGGGCGUGGGCGGCAGUUCCGAGGAAGCUGCCUGUGCUCCCCGGCUGCUUCCUGCUGCCUUCAGGCUGCACUCUGAGCCCACCCGCCUCCCUGGCCAGGACCACGGCCCCCUGGGCUGAAGGCAGUGUUCAGUCCCCACCCGCUUGGAAACUGGCUGCUUGUUUAUCCCCCCAGUGGCCGGGAGCUGCAGGAAGGCUGAGCAUGUCUUAAUGGCCUGGUGUGGGGCACCGGCUGGCACACGUAGGGCUCAGCCCAUAUUUCAAGUUCAAUGAACCACCUGCGCCUGAGGACAUGCCCGGCGCUGGAGACGCAGCAGGAAGCAGGACAGACGGUGUCCUGACCACAGACGCACAGCCACACGUGGGCACAUGUGUGAGUGCACGCGUGUGCACACGGGGAGGAGCAGGAACCCAGUGGGGGCUGGCCCCGCGGCCCCGGGGGUGUCCCUGGCUCUCAGCAGCCCCCUGCCCACCGUGGGGCCCCAGCCCCGCCAGGCGAAGGCCUGACGCGGGCACUGACCGUGACGACGGUGGGGCAGUGGUCCUUCAGGUGCAGGAGCAGGGGCACCAUGGUCUGCUGCACCUGGGUUCGCAGGCUGCCCAGCUGCUGGCCUGCCACCGACGCCACCAGGUCCCCGAACAGUGCCAUGGCCGCUGCCCGGACCUCGUCCCGCUCCUGCAAGGCAGAGUCUCAGAGCCCAGCCAGACCCACCUUGGGACCCUCGACUCCCAGUACCCUCAGCAGGACCCCUUCAUUGGGGCUCCAGGAACAGACCUCAGCCUCCCCCCUCGGACAGGGCUCUAGGGCAGGGAUGAGCUUCCCCCUCAGAC